RNAcentral lists this long non-coding RNA (502 nucleotides) under Brassica rapa (field mustard). RNAcentral describes it as "long non-coding RNA (BRAP_LNC002184)". The record is from RNAcentral. Lineage: Eukaryota; Viridiplantae; Streptophyta; Magnoliopsida; Brassicales; Brassicaceae.
CUUCACAAAAGUGUCAACGGUCCAUAAAGCAUGGGACAGAAAUAAACAUAAACUUGCAAGUUCGAUUGCACCCUACUAAUUACACGACCAAUCAAGCAUAUCACUGUCGGAUCCUGCAUCUUUUGAGAGUUCCAUCUGAUAAAACAAAGACAGUAGUGUAAGAAGAAAAUGUUUAUAAUCAAAUACAUGCGAAAGUUCACGAGAAACAAAAAUACAUGCAAAAGUUCAUGAGAAGCAAAGAUACAGACCAUUUGAAUUGUUCAUACCCUCUCUGUUUUAGAAUUGGGAAAAGCUUCAACACUGUCCACAACCACGUAUUCCUCAUCACUCAGCAUUUGUACACCUGCCAAAUUCAUCAAACACAUUAGACUGAAUUGACGAAGAAGAACUACAUAUAAAGAACAAACUAGUUACCAUCCGUUUCAGAUAAACUUGCAUUGCUCUCAUUGCCUUUCUCCAAAGAGGAGGGUUCAACAGCCUUUAAUGAUGAAUCAUCGUCAUC